GGUCAAGUGAAGAAGCGCAUACGGUGGAUGCCUUGGCAGUCAGAGGCGAUGAAAGACGUGGUAGCCUGCGAAAAGCUUCGGGGAGUCGGCAAACAGACUUUGAUCCGGAGAUCUCUGAAUGGGGGAACCCACCUAGGAUAACCUAGGUAUCUUGUACUGAAUCCAUAGGUGCAAGAGGCGAACCAGGGGAACUGAAACAUCUAAGUACCCUGAGGAAAAGAAAUCAACCGAGAUUCCCUUAGUAGUGGCGAGCGAACGGGGAUUAGCCCUUAAGCUUCAUUGAUUUUAGCGGAACGCUCUGGAAAGUGCGGCCAUAGUGGGUGAUAGCCCCGUACGCGAAAGGAUCUUUGAAGUGAAAUCGAGUAGGACGGAGCACGAGAAACUUUGUCUGAACAUGGGGGGACCAUCCUCCAAGGCUAAAUACUACUGACUGACCGAUAGUGAACCAGUACCGUGAGGGAAAGGCGAAAAGAACCCCGGAGAGGGGAGUGAAAUAGAACCUGAAACCGUAUGCGUACAAGCAGUGGGAGCCUACUUGUUAGGUGACUGCGUACCUUUUGUAUAAUGGGUCAGCGACUUAUAUUCAGUGGCAAGCUUAACCGUAUAGGGUAGGCGUAGCGAAAGCGAGUCUUAAUAGGGCGUUUAGUCGCUGGGUAUAGACCCGAAACCGGGCGAUCUAUCCAUGAGCAGGUUGAAGGUUAGGUAACACUGACUGGAGGACCGAACCCACUCCCGUUGAAAAGGUAGGGGAUGACUUGUGGAUCGGAGUGAAAGGCUAAUCAAGCUCGGAGAUAGCUGGUUCUCCUCGAAAGCUAUUUAGGUAGCGCCUCAUGUAUCACUCUGGGGGGUAGAGCACUGUUUCGGCUAGGGGGUCAUCCCGACUUACCAAACCGAUGCAAACUCCGAAUACCCAGAAGUGCCGAGCAUGGGAGACACACGGCGGGUGCUAACGUCCGUCGUGAAAAGGGAAACAACCCAGACCGCCAGCUAAGGUCCCAAAGUUGUGGUUAAGUGGUAAACGAUGUGGGAAGGCUUAGACAGCUAGGAGGUUGGCUUAGAAGCAGCCAUCCUUUAAAGAAAGCGUAAUAGCUCACUAGUCGAGUCGGCCUGCGCGGAAGAUGUAACGGGGCUCAAACCACACACCGAAGCUGCGGGUGUCACGCAAGUGACGCGGUAGAGGAGCGUUCUGUAAGCCUGUGAAGGUGAGUUGAGAAGCUUGCUGGAGGUAUCAGAAGUGCGAAUGCUGACAUGAGUAACGACAAUGGGUGUGAAAAACACCCACGCCGAAAGACCAAGGGUUCCUGCGCAACGUUAAUCGACGCAGGGUUAGUCGGUUCCUAAGGCGAGGCUGAAAAGCGUAGUCGAUGGGAAACAGGUUAAUAUUCCUGUACUUCUGGUUACUGCGAUGGAGGGACGGAGAAGGCUAGGCCAGCUUGGCGUUGGUUGUCCAAGUUUAAGGUGGUAGGCUGAAAUCUUAGGUAAAUCCGGGGUUUCAAGGCCGAGAGCUGAUGACGAGUCGUCUUUUAGAUGACGAAGUGGUUGAUGCCAUGCUUCCAAGAAAAGCUUCUAAGCUUCAGGUAACCAGGAACCGUACCCCAAACCGACACAGGUGGUCGGGUAGAGAAUACCAAGGCGCUUGAGAGAACUCGGGUGAAGGAACUAGGCAAAAUGGCACCGUAACUUCGGGAGAAGGUGCGCCGGCUAGGGUGAAGGAUUUACUCCGUAAGCUCUGGCUGGUCGAAGAUACCAGGCCGCUGCGACUGUUUAUUAAAAACACAGCACUCUGCAAACACGAAAGUGGACGUAUAGGGUGUGACGCCUGCCCGGUGCCGGAAGGUUAAUUGAUGGGGUUAGCGCAAGCGAAGCUCUUGAUCGAAGCCCCGGUAAACGGCGGCCGUAACUAUAACGGUCCUAAGGUAGCGAAAUUCCUUGUCGGGUAAGUUCCGACCUGCACGAAUGGCGUAACGAUGGCGGCGCUGUCUCCACCCGAGACUCAGUGAAAUUGAAAUCGCUGUGAAGAUGCA
Molecule: ribosomal RNA, 2024 nt
Filed under: Pseudomonas aeruginosa
Lineage: Bacteria; Pseudomonadati; Pseudomonadota; Gammaproteobacteria; Pseudomonadales; Pseudomonadaceae
Description: partial 23S ribosomal RNA
Rfam family: Bacterial large subunit ribosomal RNA
Source: RNAcentral